Molecule: ribosomal RNA, 440 nt
Filed under: Alopecurus myosuroides
Lineage: Eukaryota; Viridiplantae; Streptophyta; Magnoliopsida; Poales; Poaceae
Description: eukaryotic LSU rRNA
Source: RNAcentral
AUCCCGCGAACCAUCGAGUCUUUGAACGCAAGUUGCGCCCGAGGCCUCUUGGCCAAGGGCACGCCUGCCUGGGCGUCACGCCAAACACGCUCCCACCCCUCAUCGGGUUGUGGGAUGCGGCAUGUGGCCCCCCGCCUCGUAAGAGUCGGUGGGCCAAAGAUGUGGCUGCCGGCGUAUCGUUCCGGACACAGCGCGUGGUGGGCGAACUCGCUUUACUUAUCGCAGUGCGUCCGGACCGUARCCGACGUGAUGGCCUUAAGGACCCUAUGAACGGGGCGCAUGACGCUCCGACCGCGACCCCAGGUCAGGCGGGACUACCCGCUGAAUUUAAGCAUAUAAAUAAGCGGAGGAGAAGAAACUUACAAGGAUUCCCCUAGUAACGGCGAGCGAACCGGGAUCAGCCCAGCUUGAGAAUCGGGCGGCCGUGCCGUCCGAAUUGU